CUCCAGCAGAUGCCACGCGCACCGGGUGCAAGUCACUUCAACACAUCAUCUUCCUCAUCUAUCCCCACCUAAUUUCUUCUGGCCUCCUCAUCAAACAUUUGGCAGCAUCCCAAGCACACACACGCACACCCACACGCAUGUGCAUCUGGCCGGUCACAUCUGUCUGCUUGCAUCAGCAGCGCCGGUCACAUCAGUGUUGUGUGUUUUUCUCCUAAGUGAUGCCCGCACAGCAUCUCCCCAUCUCCGCUCGUCUGCGUGCGUCACAAACACGCAGCGUCCGACAGAAGGCGCAUUAUAGUAAACACAAUGAGUCCGUCUAUUCCCACGACAAUCCCCGCAUCUGUGCGGGAGAUACCCGGGCCUGGACUGGUGCGGCUGGGAGGAAGCUGCUGCUGCUGCUGCUGCUGCUGCUGUCGCUGGUCAGGAUGUUUGUUUAGAGGCACUUAUACGUAUAUUUUUCCGACUGUGCAUAAUGCAUUUGUUACUUUCAGUUAAAUCGCUAUAUGUGCGUGUAGAAAGAUAGAAAAUGUAUAUAUUUUUUUUUUAAUUGUAUUGUUUAAUUUUGAUUUUAAUUCCAGCAUUUUAAUACUUAUCAUUUGAGCCGAACGAAUCAAGAGACGAUGUCGGGUUAAUCUACAUCAGGUCUGACAUUCUCAGUGACAACCAUUUCUGCUGGGGAGGCUAAAAAUGUCAAAUUGCUUAUUUUCAUAAUGGAGCUUGGCGGGGGCGCGUUUGUUCAGGCGAGCGGACGUUCCGGAUGUGCGCUCGCGCUGUGAUUUUUCGGUCCGCCCGGUUCGGACACGAGCAGCGGAGGCCCAGCCGGAGCUGCGGCCGAAUAGUUCGGUGUCACCGGCUGCUUUGGAAGCCGGAGGCAGACGGUCAGCAGGCCCCGCUGGGUGUCUGCUGCUGAGCUACUGCGCUGCUUCCUUCCUGCAGCUUCCCCCCUCCGUCAUCUCCCCCCUCCCCUUCUGCCGCCGACAAACAGCACAUUUAAAAAGGGGGACGAAAAGAAAGAAAGAAAAAAAAAUCACCGAGCCGGAAGGUGACCCGUUCCGCAGCAAGUCAUACCUGGUAAUCCAGUUAGUUGGAGCAAACCCGGUGUCCGUUAUAAUCUGGAGCGGAGACGGUCCAUUGUCCUGCUGUUGUCGCUUACGGCUCUGUCGGCUGCCUGACCUUUUAUUGUUUUGGAGCAGAAGACAGACGGAUGCGGACCGUUUGUUUUAAAGGCUGCAGCAGUGUUUCAGCGACAUCUGCUGGCCGAACACAGGAAGUGCUGUUCGGAUGAGACGCGCAACCCUGACAGUAAAUGUGGACAGAAGGCAGCCUGAAGAUUCCGCCUCCUGCGGUCUGAAGUCAGGGCCAAGAGCAGAGCAGAGCAGCUGGCCCCUCACUGACCAGACAAAGGGCCGGGGCCCCUCAGCAGGCUGAGUGCUCUGGGAGACAAAAAAGAAAACAACAAAUUUUACAACGUCUCCUCCUGAUAAACAAAGUGUUGCUGCUUUUUGUUGUGUUUUCCUCCAUAACAGCAAAGGUUCAACUCUUACUGUGUCUAGAACACAAGGAUGAGUUUUUUCAUGUGUAAAAAAUGAUAAAUAACUAAGUUAUUAAAUAGGAACAGUUAUAUUAGUUAGGUAGAAAAUUUUGACUUUAAAGAAAAUUGCAGCAUUUGUCACUUUUUCUUCUGCCUUUCCUUCACUAGACUCAGCAGCCUGGAGAUUUGAAUUAGCCUUCAUAGACAUCAACAUGGAUUACUAGCUUACCAUACAUAACAAGCCAUGUGUAGCUGAAAGCUUCACAAUGUAAAUGCCACACUUUUCAAAUUAGUAAAACAUUUUGAAAUGCAGAAUCUCAUGUAGAAGCAGAAUCAACCAAUAAUUUUGUAAAUAGAAAUGAAGAUUCUGUUUAAAGUAUCCUUUUUAUUGCUGUUCUAAUGAUCUGAGAUGCUGCACUUUGAAGGGUUAUUCUCUAUAAGCCAUAAUCAUCAAAUUUACAAGAAAUACAAAAGGCUUGGAAUAGUUUUGUUUAUGGGUAAUAAAUCUAGUUAAUAUGAAUUUUAUUUUCUAAAAUGAGUGACAAAAGCCUCUAAAUUUUUCCCUGACAUAUUAUUUUUAAUGUGCCAGCAUUAUUUCCCAACGACUUGACAAUUAUUUGUCACCUUUUUCUAUUUUUAUCAUCUAUCACAUUAAAUCCAGUAAAUAAAACACACAGAGGUUGGUGGUCGACAAACAUGACAGAAAUGUGGGGAAAAAAAGACUUAUGGCUUUGACCUUACAGUGUGAUUGUUGACAACAUGGAGAUCCUUUCAUCGUUACGUCUUUAGUUCCACAAUUAGAAUCACCGUCUGUAACAUUCAUUAUGGUUUCAAUUUUAAUGCUUUUAGUUUAAAACAGGCAGGAAAUGGACUGUACGUGUUUCAGUUUUAUUUAGAAGCUGUGCUAAUCAAAUGUGGCCAGAAGGGGGCAGCACAACGAGGUUUUUCCCCAAGUGGUGAGGCUAUUGGACUGAUUUUAGUUUUUAUCUUCACAGUUUCACUUUAAAGCGGCAGUAUUUUGUGUUUUCCAGCUCACACCGUCAUUUAUAGCGCAAACAAGUAACUAUGUUACUUUUAACUGUUAUAAAAAUGCUGCAUAAAUCUACUGAUUUAAAAGAAAUUUAACUUUGUAAUUUAAUGCCUUGAAUUUCUGCUUUAGUCUCUUUAAAAACUCCACCUCUUCCUGAAAGCUGCCUUCAGGAGGUCAUCACAGCAUUAACUGUUUAUCAGCAGCUUUGGCCUUGUAUUUUUUUCCUCAAGUCACUUGCGAAUUUAAUCAUUUGCAUUUUUGGGGGCUUGUUUGAAAAUAAAGUUGCUUCAAUGGGCA
This is a long non-coding RNA of Gambusia affinis (western mosquitofish), 2858 nucleotides long. RefSeq lists it as uncharacterized. The transcript has 2 exons. Lineage: Eukaryota; Metazoa; Chordata; Actinopteri; Cyprinodontiformes; Poeciliidae. The record is from RefSeq and is a predicted model, not a curated record.